AACUCUGUGCCAGCAGCCGCGGUAAUACAGAGGGUGCAAGCGUUAUUCGGAAUUACUGGGCGUAAAGCGCGCGUAGGCGGACUAUUAAGUCAGUUGUGAAAGCCCUGGGCUCAACCUGGGAACUGCAUCUGAUACUGGUAGUCUAGAGUUUAAGAGAGGGAAGUGGAAUUCCAGGUGUAGCAGUGAAAUGCGUAGAUAUCUGGAGGAACAUCAGUGGCGAAGGCGACUUCCUGGCUUAGAACUGACGCUGAGGUGCGAAAGCGUGGGUAGCGAACGGGAUUAGAUACCCCGGUAGUCCACGCCGUAAACGAUGUCAACUAGUUGUUGGUCUUAUUAAAAAGAUUAGUAACGAAGCUAACGCGAUAAGUUGACCGCCUGGGGAGUACGGUCGCAAGAUUAAAACUCAAAUGAAUUGGACGGGGG
RNAcentral lists this ribosomal RNA (423 nucleotides) under uncultured bacterium. RNAcentral describes it as "bacterial SSU rRNA". It matches the Rfam family "Bacterial small subunit ribosomal RNA", at positions 499 to 919 of the family's 1533-position model. The record is from RNAcentral.